GCCGUUGCUUUUGGUCUUCGUGGGCUUCCGGUGAAGUUGAUUAAAGGGGAGUUGAUUUUGGCUCAUGUUUGUAGUGUUUUGAUUGUGGAAGGGACAGCUGAAGUCUUAUCUAGCUGGUGGAAAGUGAUAAGAUGUGAGUGGUGGUAAUGCUUCCGUUUAGUCUCGUUGUGUCUUUGGGAUUUCUGGGUACAUUCUGUAGAAUAAGCCUUUUAGUUCAUGGAGUCUUGGUAUGUAUAAACUAUAAAGUGGUGGUGGUGGUGGUGGGGCAUUUCAUGUUAUUGGAGUGGAGGAAAUUUUCAUUAGAAAUUUGAAAACAGAGCACCUGUUCCAGUUUUCUUUCUGCUGUUCUGGGAUUCCGUUUCUGCUCAUAUUUUGUUUAUCUGGCACUUCGUUCAAGAAAUAUGGGAGUUUUAUAAGGUUUUUGUAAAUGGGAUUUGGUUCAUUGACUUGGUCUUUGGUUCAAAGUCUUUCUUGUUGCAUGCUUUCUAAAAGGAUUGCUUCUAGGAAUGUUAGUCUUUAUGAGAACACACUGAACAAAGAUUAGUUUUUUAAAGAAAAGGGCUUGAGUGCAAAUGCAUUUUUCAGGUAAUCCAGAUUACAAACAUGCAACUUGAAAGGCGUUUACGGAUCUAGCAAGUUAUUCUUUGAAUCCUAUUAGAGAGUCCUCUUGAUACCGCUGUUCUAAAGCAAGGUUAUUUUGGUUGUGGAUAUGAUAUAUAGAGGAUUGACUUGACAAUAACAAAAAGAAAAAAAAAAACACAGAAACUCUUCGGGCCCUCUGGGAUGGCAAUUUUGAUGCUACGGGUUGUCUCCAGUAGAUACCUCAGCUAGCCUCGGGUGGUUCGAGGCAAUUCGAGAAGGUCAACUUUCAGGCAGUUCAAGGCCUGUUGGAAAGGUUCUGAUCCAAGUUAUGAUUGGAGGCGGCAGAGGAAGAGGCGCAGAUGGAGUUUGUGCGCACUGUAUACCGAUUCAAAGUAUGCAUGCAUGCGUGGUGUUUGAGCCUGAGAAGAACCGCAAUUUCCCAAUAUUGUCGAGUUUAGUAGCAAACCCGGCAGGCGAGGUUGCGAUAUCUUCAGAGCAGAAGGUUUAUGAUGUGGUGCUGAAGCAGGCGGCAUUGGUAGGAAGCAGUUGAGACCGGAUAUGGCGCUCGACGUGAAACCAGACAUGGCUAUUCCAGGAGCUACAACCUUGUUGAACGAGGCUUAUGAUCGUUGUGGAGAAGUUUGCGCAGAGUAUGCCAAGAUCUUUUACCUUGGAACGCUGCUCAUGACCCCUGAAAGGAUAUGAGAGCUAUCUGGGCAAUAUAUGGUAAUGGAUCGAAAUAAUUACCAGUAUAUGUAGUUUCCAUUUGUCAGAUUUCAAUCAAUGAGUCUGAAAUUAUGUUGAGAGCU
Molecule: non-coding RNA, 1391 nt
Organism: Phoenix dactylifera (date palm)
Lineage: Eukaryota; Viridiplantae; Streptophyta; Magnoliopsida; Arecales; Arecaceae
Source: RefSeq, a predicted model, not a curated record